CCUACGGGAGGCAGCAGUGAGGAAUAUUGGUCAAUGGCCGGAAGGCUGAACCCUCCCUUCCUCUUUCCUGUCCGUGCCCUCUGGGCGUUAAACUUCUUUUGUGCGGGAGCAAUAAUGGUCACGUGUGGCCAGACGAGAGUACCGUACGAAUAAGCAUCGGCUAACUCCGUGCCAGCAGCAGCGGUAAUACGGGGGAUGCAAGCGUUAUCCGGAUUUAGUGGGUUUAACGGGUGCGUAGGCUGUGAGGUAAGUCAGCGGUGAAAUGCCCCCGCUCAACGGGGUGAAGUGCCAUUGAUACUGCCUGGCUGGAAUGCGGAUGCCGUGGGAGGAAUGUGUGGUGUAGCGGUGAAAUGCAUAGAUAUCACACAGAACACCGAUUGCGAAGGCAUCUCACGAAUCCGCGAUUGACGCUGAUGCACGAAAGCGUGGGUAUCAAACAGGAUUAGAUACCCGUGUAGUC
RNAcentral lists this ribosomal RNA (460 nucleotides) under uncultured bacterium. RNAcentral's name for it is "partial 16S ribosomal RNA". It matches the Rfam family "Bacterial small subunit ribosomal RNA", at positions 338 to 795 of the family's 1533-position model. The record is from RNAcentral.